Molecule: long non-coding RNA, 212 nt
Organism: Phlebotomus papatasi
Lineage: Eukaryota; Metazoa; Arthropoda; Insecta; Diptera; Psychodidae
Exons: 3
Source: RefSeq, a predicted model, not a curated record
CAAUUUAAGGUGAGAAUUGUCCAGUCUACGGCUUUCCUUCCAAAGUAUCCAUUGGAUCUUAUCGGGUUAUUUUCUGUAUAUUUUAAGGUGAAUAUUGAUAUCUUCCCUUGAAAACAACUGCGAAAGUAUUUGGAUAAUCGGGCUUUCUUUCUUUACAAUUUAAGGUAAUUUCCACAAAUUUUCCGACCAUUUUUUUGGUCCUGCUCGUCGGG